RNAcentral lists this long non-coding RNA (1149 nucleotides) under Coturnix japonica (Japanese quail). RNAcentral's name for it is "lncRNA (ENSCJPG00005005433.1)". Lineage: Eukaryota; Metazoa; Chordata; Aves; Galliformes; Phasianidae. The record is from RNAcentral.
GCGGUUACUUAUCUUCAAAGGAAUUUCAAUAGCAGGUUUAACAUCCAAAUAACUUUAUAGAUGUGACUUCAAAUCCCCCUUCACAAAGUGAAGAUCAUCCAUUUGCAUAGAAGUUCUGCAGAGAAAUAUCUCAGGUUAAAAAAAGAAAGGGCUCCAUAACAACUUCUCAGAUCUGAGGUACCUGCACAUCGUUAUUGACUUUGGUAAAGCACUUCUAAUUUACACCAGAUGGAGAGCAAACCUGAGCUACCAAGGUUCUCCUGCACAAGAUGGAAGCACUUCAGGCUGAAGAGCCAUCAGGAACGGCAUGUUAAAAAAGAAUCUGGCAAGGUCAGAACUAUUUCCCUCCUACUGCCCCCAUAAAACAGGAAAAUCUUCCCCAUCGCAUGCCGGUGGGAGAACAGAAUUAUUGGCAGACUUUGCUUUUCACAUCCGCUGCUGCUAUUUCAGAAGGAAAUUGUGAGUAUAAAUCAGUUGGGGGCUCUGAUCCAGCUAUUCUCUUUUUGACUGCAGAUUGUUAUGUUUUCCUCCCUAUGAAAUAAGAAUUAGACUUGUGGAAAUGCCAAGCCUGAUUCUUAUCAUGCUCCAGUUUUCUACGGGUAUCACUGCAAUGAUUUCUGCAUUGUUACUCCUGUUAUAUAUUGGGAUUUAUGAAGAUAAGGGUCAGUACAAUAAGAUUCCUCAAUAUUAGCAGGAAUAAUUAAUUUCUAGUCUGAGCCCUAACAUGACAUAUGUCAGUUAUUGAUGGAUGGAUAGAAAAAGUGGCACAAGCUUUGUCCAAUUUGAAUUCUUGCUUCUCCAAACCUUUUCAAUAUGUUCUCAGAAUUUAGCUAGGAGCUGUAACGUUACGUUUUUGCAACGAGUCUAUUCUCCCUUAAAUUUUUCAUCUUGACUUAAUACAAUUUCUUCCUCAAAUAGUUACCUGCAGCUGUCAGGAUUGGGAACAUUGAUCUGCUCUUGAGACAACCCAUGAAGACAUGUUCAUGACCUGGCUUUCUCACACUUUCAGCCCUCUUGCUCUUGACUAAACUGGUCAGCCUCUAACAGGAACUUUUCUUCCAGUGAUUCUGUUUUAGUCCGAAAGCUCAGAGCACAGCAUCGAGCAAGGAGCUGGGAGAGUGCAGAGGCAGCUAAACUCUCCCUUCCCAG